UGACCCAGGAACACAUCUACAGGACAGACGUUUCUUUUUCUGCUUUCUCAAAACAAACACAAUCACAUAUUCAUGUUCAGCAACACAGUCAAACAUUAUUACUGCACCAGUUGUCACAUUGUUAUCUCUAUUAAUAAUGCUUUGAACUGUGAUUAAAAUGAUUUCUUCAGUGAUGAAAUGCUCUGAUGGAUUUUGGUGAAAUGUGAACUGAUUCAUUCAGUCAGACUGUAACUGUGAACAACAACUGUGAGGAGAGAAAACUGACUCAGCUAAAACGAUCCAUCCCAGGAGUCUUCCUGUAAGUGAAACCGGUCCAAACGUUCCAGGAUUCGCAUGAAAACAAGGUUCUUUUACAACAGAACAUGACCACACAGUUUACACAGACGUCCACUGUAGAUCCCUUCGACCAUUAAAACAUUUAAACCUCCUUUGGACCCGAUCACAACAUUUCCAGCUGGAGCCUGACAAGGAAAGCGGUCUAGAAUAGUGAGUCUGAGAGAAGCAUACAGCAUGACACCGUCACCACAGCAGCCUGGAAGAAGCACAAGGUCACCUGUUCAAGACGCCCACCUGGCCUCAAAAAAUGUGCAGGAGAUAAAAACGGAGGUUUUCCUUCUUUGGUAAUACUGCUGACACACAGCAGCCACAGAGAGAGAGCAGAGUAAAGAAAAUGAGCUUUCUAUGGAUAACAGAGGCAGAUAAUGUGAAUAAUAAUCAGAGAAACUUCAGGGUAGUGUGGACGCUGCAGAGCUUUCAGCUUCCAUCAUUAGUCACAUCAUCAUGUUUUAAUUGGGCAAGUUGAUUAAAAUGCACACAGGAAAGUCUACAUCACAAAAACGGACAAUUGGCUGAUAAUCAAUUAGCCUGAUGAGCCACCUUGAGUUAUCAAUACAGGGGCUGAGACCAGAGUGUAAUCCAUUGAUCGUAUGAAAGGCAGUCGUGACAAUACAGAUGCAGUCCAUCGUUCCGAGCCGGAAGGAAAGCCCGGGAACAUCAGCAUCUCAUCGCGCGCCGUCCCGUCUGCUGCAGCUCCAGCCGGGCACGCGACUCACGGCUUCACCAACAACGUCACAGUCACACACACACCGACCGACAGCCUCCGUGAACCCGACAGAGAGUGUGUGCUCACCGGAGAGCCUCCUCAUCCCUCCUCCGGUCCUCCUUCCUCCCGGUAUCCGGAGCCCAGCGGGGGCUGGACUCACCGAGCCCCGUUCCUCCGGUCUGACGCUGCGUUCAAGAGCGGUGGGAAAUCUAAACCCUCUGAAACGUACUGAACUGAUCCUGGGCUGUUGGAACCAGCACAAUGCCUCGAUGAUUAAUAACUUCAGGGCUAAUCAUUUAAGCCCUAAUGAGGAUAUGAUGUCACAGAACGAUGCAUGUGUUCUCCGGUGAAGCUGCGAGGUGUCCAACAUGACAUCAAACUGAUCCACAGAGUCCAGACGCCGAUUCAGUUUGAAUUCUAAAUUCAGGACUUUAAACACACAGACCGCCUGUUUGUUAUCACAUGUAUGACUCAACACCAAAUGUCCGAGGAGGAGGAGGAGGACGAGGAGGAGGACGAGGAGGAGGAAGAGUGAGUGUCGCAGCAGCAGCAGGAGACGAGGCAGUGUGGGCGGGUGGGAAUCACAAGGAUGAAUAUUUUACAGUUCCAUGGAGCCGUCAUGUGGCUGCUCCCUCAUGUGUGUCAUCAUACAGUGUGUCACUCACGCCUCCUUAUUAAACAUUCAGCACUCCACAGGAAGUGAUGUAACCAGCGUUACACACUCUGAAACUACAGAGACUGAAAAUCUGGUUUCAUUCAGAGAUAAACAUCAUUUCUGCUGUUCCCACCUGAAAUCCACCCGCUCAGACAUGAAACUCAAACAUCACGCUAACGACUACAUGACUGUUGUAUAUUGUUACUGUCUUUGACUUCCUGCUGCCUCUUUAUAUUUUCAGGUGUUUUCAGUUAUUUGUGUGUCAAGAGUACGUUCCAUCAGGACCCGAUAACUUCCUGACAACUGUAAUAUAAUCUACACUUCAUUUAAAUAAAACUGUCAUAACAAAAUGUCCCAACUGACUGAUAUUGUAAUUACCUUUAAUAGACAAUAGACAACUUUUUUGCUUCGACCGUUCAUUCUGAAGUGAACACUGAUGUCACAGUGAUUUCUGUAGACAAAAAGACAGCGUCCAUGUUUAGACUGAUUCACUGUCAUUGUGAUAUUCAGUCAACACCAGGUCAGAGUAGAAGGUGGAAUUACAGCACAAAGGAAUCUGCCAUUGUGCAACCACAACAGUUCGAGGCACCCGUUUGCCGGUCUCUAUCCCCCCAUAACGGUGUAAUAACAUGAAUAACUGUGACAAGAAAAAGAAGCCGGCUGAUGUAGGAGGCAGAGAAGAAGAAACCGAGGUAUGU
Molecule: long non-coding RNA, 2395 nt
Organism: Acanthopagrus latus (yellowfin seabream)
Lineage: Eukaryota; Metazoa; Chordata; Actinopteri; Spariformes; Sparidae
Exons: 3
Source: RefSeq, a predicted model, not a curated record